Molecule: transfer RNA, 72 nt
Filed under: Cavia porcellus (domestic guinea pig)
Lineage: Eukaryota; Metazoa; Chordata; Mammalia; Rodentia; Caviidae
Rfam family: tRNA
About the family: Transfer RNA (tRNA) molecules are approximately 80 nucleotides in length. Their secondary structure includes four short double-helical elements and three loops (D, anti-codon, and T loops).
Source: Rfam by way of RNAcentral
UGGGAUAUAGCUCAGUGGCAUAGCACCUGCCUGGUAAGCAAGAGGUCAUGAGUUCAAUUCCCAGCACCCCCC